RNAcentral lists this ribosomal RNA (883 nucleotides) under uncultured bacterium. RNAcentral's name for it is "bacterial SSU rRNA". It matches the Rfam family "Bacterial small subunit ribosomal RNA", at positions 8 to 887 of the family's 1533-position model. The record is from RNAcentral.
AGAGUUUGAUCCUGGCUCAGGAUGAACGCUGGCGGCGUGCCUAACACAUGCAAGUCGAACGGGGUUAAGGGAAAUUUUCGGAUGGAACUUAACUUAGUGGCGGACGGGUGAGUAACGCGUGGAUAACCUGCCUCACACUGGGGGAUAGCAGCUGGAAACGGCUGGUAAUACCGCAUAAGACCCCGGCACCGCAUGGUGCCGAGGUAAAAGAUUUAUCGGUGUGAGAUGGAUCCGCGUCUGAUUAGCCAGUUGGCGGGGUAACGGCCCACCAAAGCGACGAUCAGUAGCCGGCCUGAGAGGGUGAACGGCCACAUUGGGACUGAGACACGGCCCAAACUCCUACGGGAGGCAGCAGUGGGGAAUAUUGCACAAUGGGCGCAAGCCUGAUGCAGCAACGCCGCGUGAGUGAAGAAGUAUUUCGGUAUGUAAAGCUCUAUCAGCAGGGAAGAAAGGCCCGAAAGGGAGAUGACGGUACCUGACUAAGAAGCCCCGGCUAACUACGUGCCAGCAGCCGCGGUAAUACGUAGGGGGCAAGCGUUAUCCGGAUUUACUGGGUGUAAAGGGAGCGCAGACGGCAGUGCAAGUCUGAUGUGAAAGCCCGGGGCUCAACCCCGGAACUGCAUUGGAAACUGUACAGCUUGAGUGUCGGAGAGGUAAGCGGAAUUCCUAGUGUAGCGGUGAAAUGCGUAGAUAUUAGGAGGAACACCGGUGGCGAAGGCGGCUUACUGGACGAUAACUGACGUUGAGGCUCGAAAGCGUGGGGAGCAAACAGGAUUAGAUACCCUGGUAGUCCACGCUGUAAACGAUGAAUACUAGUGUGGGUGUGCACUGCACAUCCGUGCCGCAGCUAACGCAAUAAGUAUUCCACCUGGGGAGUACGUUC